ACCAACCAGCGCAUCUGGUUAUCCCAACUGACCAUCAAAAUUGGACUCGUUUCUUAGAACAGGCUGAGCCAGCUUAUAGGGGACUUGAUUGUGUACUGAGGUCCUUGAGAAGCCUUACCCCACAUCUUCUGCCAGCCACUCAAAGGGGAGGAUGUCCCACUCUGCUCUAAGGUGGAGAGAAGGCUUCAAAUCCGUUCUGAGUUCUUGGAUCUUAGUCACAUAGAGCAGCUUUAAGCAUUGCUUCUGAGGAGGAUACCAUUUCUCCCUUCUGCCACAUGUAUUGACUAAUGAGACCAGCCUAUGGUCCCCCAAAUUCCCAAAGGGUACUCUGAAUUGGCACCAGUUUAGUGGGCUAUCUAGUGAAA
Marmota flaviventris (yellow-bellied marmot) is the source of this 365-nucleotide long non-coding RNA. RefSeq lists it as uncharacterized. The record is from RefSeq and is a predicted model, not a curated record. Lineage: Eukaryota; Metazoa; Chordata; Mammalia; Rodentia; Sciuridae.